This 608-nucleotide unclassified non-coding RNA is filed under the name Alternaria alternata. RNAcentral's name for it is "partial miscellaneous RNA". The stretch from base 237 to 390 matches the Rfam family "5.8S ribosomal RNA". Lineage: Eukaryota; Fungi; Ascomycota; Dothideomycetes; Pleosporales; Pleosporaceae. The record is from RNAcentral.
UUUCUUGGUCAUUUAGAGGAAGUAAAAGUCGUAACAAGGUCUCCGUAGGUGAACCUGCGGAGGGAUCAUUACACAAAUAUGAAGGCGGGCUGGAACCUCUCGGGGUUACAGCCUUGCUGAAUUAUUCACCCUUGUCUUUUGCGUACUUCUUGUUUCCUUGGUGGGUUCGCCCACCACUAGGACAAACAUAAACCUUUUGUAAUUGCAAUCAGCGUCAGUAACAAAUUAAUAAUUACAACUUUCAACAACGGAUCUCUUGGUUCUGGCAUCGAUGAAGAACGCAGCGAAAUGCGAUAAGUAGUGUGAAUUGCAGAAUUCAGUGAAUCAUCGAAUCUUUGAACGCACAUUGCGCCCUUUGGUAUUCCAAAGGGCAUGCCUGUUCGAGCGUCAUUUGUACCCUCAAGCUUUGCUUGGUGUUGGGCGUCUUGUCUCUAGCUUUGCUGGAGACUCGCCUUAAAGUAAUUGGCAGCCGGCCUACUGGUUUCGGAGCGCAGCACAAGUCGCACUCUCUAUCAGCAAAGGUCUAGCAUCCAUUAAGCCUUUUUUUCAACUUUUGACCUCGGAUCAGGUAGGGAUACCCGCUGAACUUAAGCAUAUCAAUAAGCGGA